CAGGGAAUAUUGCACAAUGGACGGAAGUCUGAUGCAGCGACGCCGCGUGGAUGAUGAAGGCCCUCGGGUCGUAAAAUCCUUUUCAGGGGGAAGAGGAAGGACGGUACCCUUGGAAUAAGCGUCGGCUAACUACGUGCCAGCAGCCGCGGUAAGACGUAGGACGCAAGCGUUAUCCGGAUUUACUGGGCGUAAAGCGUCUGUAGGCGGUACGAUAAGUUGGGCGUGAAAGCUCCGUGCUUAACGCGGAGAGGUCGUUCAAGACUGUCGAACUAGAGGACAUCAGAGGAGCAUGGAAUUUCCGGUGUAGCGGUAAAAUGCGCAGAUAUCGGAAGGAACACCAGUGGCGAAGGCGGUGCUCUGGGGUGUGCCUGACGCUGAGAGACGAAAGCUAGGGGAGCGAACA
RNAcentral lists this ribosomal RNA (403 nucleotides) under uncultured bacterium. RNAcentral's name for it is "bacterial SSU rRNA". It matches the Rfam family "Bacterial small subunit ribosomal RNA", at positions 355 to 774 of the family's 1533-position model. The record is from RNAcentral.